GUAUAGUCUGUCCCUGAAGGCAUUUUAAUGUAAACAUAGCCUAUUCUGAUAAAAGGCAGUGUCUACAUUACAGCCUUAGAACACCUCUAGGUAUACCUAUGGAAAAGCAUUAGAUUGGACGAGAUAGUCAAUUUUGAUGAUCUCAGUCAAGGAGGUGGAGCAGGGGCAGAGCAAGCUGCAACAGACUCAGAUGGUGCGGUAAUAAAGGUGAGUAAAUUCACCUUUUCC
Molecule: non-coding RNA, 228 nt
Organism: Pelobates cultripes (western spadefoot toad)
Lineage: Eukaryota; Metazoa; Chordata; Amphibia; Anura; Pelobatidae
Source: the annotation of a GenBank genome assembly